GACGAACGCUGGCGGCGUGCUUAACACAUGCAAGUCGAACGAUGAAGUUCCUUCGGGAAUGGAUUAGUGGCGAACGGGUGAGGAACACGUGAGAUACCUGCCUUUCAUUUUGGGAUAACUCCGGGAAACCGGGGCUAACACCGAAUACUCCGUCUCGGCGGCAUCGCUGAGCCGGGAAAAACUCUUGAUGAAAGAUGGUCUCGCGGCCUAUCAGCUAGUUGGUGAGGUAAUGGCUCACCAAGGCAACGACGGGUAGCCGGCCUGAGAGGGCGACCGGCCACACUGGGACUGAGACACGGCCCAGACUCCUACGGGAGGCAGCAGUGGGGAAUAUUGGGCAAUGGGCGCAAGCCUGACCCAGCGACGCCGCGUGAGGGAUGAAGGCCUUCGGGUUGUAAACCUCUUUCAGUAGGGAAGAAGCGAAAGUGACGGUACCUAAAGAAGAAGCACCGGCUAACUAUGUGCCAGCCGCCGCGGUAA
RNAcentral lists this ribosomal RNA (480 nucleotides) under uncultured bacterium. Its description in RNAcentral is "partial 16S ribosomal RNA". It matches the Rfam family "Bacterial small subunit ribosomal RNA", at positions 28 to 523 of the family's 1533-position model. The record is from RNAcentral.